This 1136-nucleotide long non-coding RNA is filed under the name Sinocyclocheilus grahami. Its description in RNAcentral is "lncRNA (ENSSGRG00000018970.1)". The record is from RNAcentral. Lineage: Eukaryota; Metazoa; Chordata; Actinopteri; Cypriniformes; Cyprinidae.
GUUUUUUUAACAUUAUUAUGGAAAUUAUUUGGGAGAAACAGGAAAUGGGCUCGGAACUUGUUGCAGGCCAGAUUCAAACCUGCAUUUCCCACAUGAGCACCAUGAUUUAACAUGUCAGAAGCAUAUUUGCUUGUCACCACACUAUGGUGCUAACUAAGAAUCAGCAUAUUGAAUAUUAUUAUGAAAAUGAUUUGGGGCAAAUAGGAUCGGGACUUUCUAGGAUCUUUUUAGGAUCAGGCCAGAUUAAAAUCUACAUUACCCACAUGUUCACCACAAUUCAGUGUGUUAAAUGGGAUCAAGACACAUUGCAGAUCAGAUUAGAACCGGCAUCACCAGCGCAAGCACAUUUUAUAUCUGACAGUAGAAUUUCACGGAAGCAUUGUUAGUUUAUAAACUAAUAUGUUGUCUUUUAUUGUUCUAAAACAUUAUUUAUUUCAGGUCACUCCCAACAUCACCAUGAUGUUGCCCCCUGCAGCCCCAGAGCCCCCUCCAGCUCCCACCCCUCCCCCCAUGAUGGAAAGUGGGCCUGUGGCAUAUGAUGAACCCGCUGAGGAGGAAGAGGAGAAUGAGGAAGAGGCGGAGGUGUCUUGCAUUAGCGCCAUGGAGCUGAUAGGUGGAAAUGAAACAACAGAAUUCAUGACAACCUUUCCCUUUACAGACUACGGAUGUGAAGCUGAAGAAGAGGAGGUAUUUUAGACUGCCGUCUGUUCCCCAAACUUCUUCUCAUCCUCCUAUCCACUAUCCACCACUCUGUAUAGUGAGGAGAGGAGAAAUUAAGGCACAUUUGAGACACGUAUAAUAUGCUGCACGUUUAUGAAAGGUAAUUCUCCAUCACAGUGCUUUAUAUGACUGGUUAAACUGCAGCAUAUGUGUGAUGAAUGAGCUACAAUGGGAGAAGGUGGCUGGCAGCUGGCAGCUUUAGACUGAAGAACAUAAAACCAGUUUAGCACUUUGUCAGUGUUCCACUAAAAGUUCAAGAGACAGGAAGCUCUAUAGUAGUUUCCUGAGUGUCUCAGAGAAUUUGUUUUACGGGUGCAGGAUUUGAACCUGUUUGUAAUUCCUUAAAUGUGAGGAUAUUGAUGUCUUCUUAGCUUGCUAAUAAUAUUGAAUGCUUUGUGGGAAAAUGUAAUGGCGAU